AAAAGGAGGGGAGAAAAGGGAUUUGUCCACGGAAGACACGGAAUUACACGGAAGAGAAGAAUGCUGAAUUGGUUGUGUUUGGGGCGAAGUCUUGCAUACAAAAGAUCCGCAGCAAGGCUUCCGAUCCCUUCCGUGAAGUUCCGUGUCUUCCGUGGACAAUCCUCUCUUCCUCCCCUUUUCGCG
This 183-nucleotide microRNA precursor is filed under the name Beta vulgaris subsp. vulgaris (sugar beet). RNAcentral describes it as "pre miRNA MIR2118". Lineage: Eukaryota; Viridiplantae; Streptophyta; Magnoliopsida; Caryophyllales; Amaranthaceae. The record is from RNAcentral.